This 253-nucleotide ribosomal RNA is filed under the name uncultured bacterium. Its description in RNAcentral is "partial 16S ribosomal RNA". It matches the Rfam family "Bacterial small subunit ribosomal RNA", at positions 524 to 776 of the family's 1533-position model. The record is from RNAcentral.
UACGUAGGGUGCAAGCGUUGUCCGGAAUUAUUGGGCGUAAAGGGCUCGUAGGCGGUUUGUCGCGUCGGGAGUGAAAACACCGGGCUUAACUCGGUGCUUGCUUUCGAUACGGGCAGACUAGAGUGCGGUAGGGGAGACUGGAAUUCCUGGUGUAGCGGUGAAAUGCGCAGAUAUCAGGAGGAACACCGGUGGCGAAGGCGGGUCUCUGGGCCGUAACUGACGCUGAGGAGCGAAAGCUAGGGGAGCAAACGGG